CCUACGGGAGGCAGCAGUGGGGGAUCUUGCACAAUGGGGGGAACCCUGAUGCAGCGACGCCGCGUGGGUGAAGAAGCGCCUCGGCGCGUAAAGCCCUGUCAGCAGGGAAGAAAAUGACGGUACCUGAAGAAGAAGCCCCGGAUAACUACGGGCCAGCAGCCGCGGUAAUACGUAGGGGGCAAGCGUUAUCCGGAUUUACUGGGUGUAAAGGGGGCGCAGACGGCGAUGCAAGCCAGGAGUGAAAGCCCGGGGCCCAACCCCGGGACUGCGCUUGGAACUGCGUGGCUGGAGUGCAGGAGGGGCAGGCGGAAGUCCUGGUGUAGCGGUGAAAUGCAUAGAUAGCACGCAGAACCCCGAUUGCGAAGGCAGCAUACCGGUGCACAACUGACGCUCAGGCACGAAAGCGUGGGUAUCGAACAGGAUUAGAUACCCUGGUAGUC
RNAcentral lists this ribosomal RNA (440 nucleotides) under uncultured bacterium. RNAcentral's name for it is "partial 16S ribosomal RNA". It matches the Rfam family "Bacterial small subunit ribosomal RNA", at positions 338 to 795 of the family's 1533-position model. The record is from RNAcentral.